UACGUAGGUGGCAAGCGUCGUCCGGAAUUACUGGGUGUAAAGGGAGCGCAGGCGGGAAGCCAAGUCAGCUGUGAAAACUACGGGCUUAACUUGUAGACUGCAGUUGAAACUGGUUUUCUUGAGUGAAGUAGAGGUUGGCGGAAUUCCGAGUGUAGCGGUGAAAUGCGUAGAUAUUCGGAGGAACACCGGUGGCGAAGGCGGCCAACCGGGCUUUAACUGACGCUGAGGCUCGAAAGUGUGGGGAGCAAACAGG
This 253-nucleotide ribosomal RNA is filed under the name uncultured bacterium. RNAcentral's name for it is "partial 16S ribosomal RNA". It matches the Rfam family "Bacterial small subunit ribosomal RNA", at positions 524 to 776 of the family's 1533-position model. The record is from RNAcentral.